This 288-nucleotide unclassified non-coding RNA is filed under the name uncultured Glomeraceae. RNAcentral's name for it is "sequence contains ITS2". The stretch from base 1 to 52 matches the Rfam family "5.8S ribosomal RNA", at positions 103 to 154 of the family's 154-position model. The record is from RNAcentral. Lineage: Eukaryota; Fungi; Glomeromycota; Glomeromycetes; Glomerales; Glomeraceae.
AACGCAUAUUGCACUUUCUGGUAUUCCGGAAAGUAUGCCUGUUUGAGGGUCAGUUUAAUAAAAAUCGGUGUUAUUGCUACCCGUAGUGGUAGUUAAUGCAUCGGAAUUGAGUUGUCUUUACCUUUUUUGGUUUAAGUGACUUAAAAUUAUGUACGAUUUUUGAACGUAUUUAAAUUAUUUACGUAUGUUCAUUAUAUCAAAUAUUAGGUGCGGUCAUCCUCAUGAUUUCGCGUCUAUAAUUUUUCAUUAUUUGACCUCAAAUCAGGUAAGAGUACCCGCUGAACUUAA